This 253-nucleotide ribosomal RNA is filed under the name uncultured bacterium. RNAcentral's name for it is "partial 16S ribosomal RNA". It matches the Rfam family "Bacterial small subunit ribosomal RNA", at positions 524 to 776 of the family's 1533-position model. The record is from RNAcentral.
UACAGGGGGUGCAAACGUUGCUCGGAAUUAUUGGGCGUAAAGCGCGCGUAGGCGGCUACCUAAGUCGGAUGUGAAAGCCCCUGGCUUAACUGGGGAAGUGCACCCGAAACUGGGUAGCUAGAGUGCAAAAGAGGGUCGCGGAAUUCCCGGUGUAGAGGUGAAAUUCGUAGAUAUUCGCAAGAACACCAGUGGCGAAGGCGGCUUACUGGUCCGGUUCUGACGCUGAGGCGCGAAAGCGUGGGGAGCAAACAGG